CAAAGGGAACAGGAGUGACUGGUUUGAGCUCUCACCUUGACAGUUGGUGGAGCUUAGAGUUAUAGAGGAAGAGGUCUAACCCUAACCCUUAGAAUGCUGAGAAGAGAAACCCCUCAGUCACUAGACUUGAUCACAAAGGUAUAUUACAAAUGAAGAGAUAUGAGCUUGGAAAUAUGAGAACUGAAUUUAAAUCUAGGUCCUGACAUUUGAUGACCACAUGACUGUCAAAUUUGUUCUGAAAAAAACCCCAACACCACAAAACAUGCUUAUUCUUGCCUCCCUCAAGAAGUCUUCUCCAGUAAUCUCACAGGAGAUUUGUUAAGGAGAAUAAGUCCUUUUUCAUCUUUUCAAUGUGAGAGCAACUUCUGAAGAUGACGAC
Molecule: long non-coding RNA, 379 nt
Filed under: Monodelphis domestica (gray short-tailed opossum)
Lineage: Eukaryota; Metazoa; Chordata; Mammalia; Didelphimorphia; Didelphidae
Description: lncRNA (ENSMODG00000042529.1)
Source: RNAcentral